UGGGGAAUAUUGGACAAUGGGCGCAAGCCUGAUCCAGCAAUUCCGCGUGGGUGAAGAAGGUCUUCGGAUUGUAAAGCCCUUUCGACGGGGACGAUGAUGACGGUACCCGUAGAAGAAGCCCCGGCUAACUUCGUGCCAGCAGCCGCGGUAAUACGAAGGGGGCUAGCGUUGCUCGGAAUUACUGGGCGUAAAGGGCGCGUAGGCGGCUUAGUUAGUCAGGCGUGAAAGCCCUGGGCUCAACCUGGGGACUGCGCUUGAUACGGCUGGGCUAGAGGAUGGAAGAGGGUCGCGGAAUUCCCAGUGUAGAGGUGAAAUUCGUAGAUAUUGGGAAGAACACCGGUGGCGAAGGCGGCGACCUGGUCCAUUACUGACGCUGAGGCGCGACAGCGUGGGGAGCAAACAGG
Molecule: ribosomal RNA, 404 nt
Filed under: uncultured bacterium
Lineage: Bacteria
Description: bacterial SSU rRNA
Rfam family: Bacterial small subunit ribosomal RNA
Source: RNAcentral